CCGGAUUUAUUGGGUUUAAAGGGUGCGUAGGCGGAUUAAUAAGUCAGCGGUGAAACUCACAGGCUCAACCUGUGCCGUGCCGUUGAAACUGUUUAUCUCAAAUGCGGAUGCUGUGGGAGGAAUGUGUAGUGUAGCGGUGAAAUGCAUAGAUAUUACACAGAACACCGAUUGCGAAGGCAUCUCACAAGGCCGUGAUUGACGCUGAGGCACGAAAGUGUGGGGAUCAAACAGGAUUAGAUACCCUGGUAGUCCACUACUGUAAACGAUGAUAACUCGCUGCCGGCGAUAUAUAGUCGGUGGCCCAGCGAAAGCGAUAAGUUAUCCACCUGGGGAGUACGACCGCAAGGUUGAAACUCAAAGGAAUUGACGGGGGCCCGCACAAGCGGAGGAACAUGUGGUUUAAUUCGAUGAUACGCGAGGAACCUUACC
This 429-nucleotide ribosomal RNA is filed under the name uncultured Bacteroidota bacterium. Its description in RNAcentral is "bacterial SSU rRNA". It matches the Rfam family "Bacterial small subunit ribosomal RNA", at positions 545 to 975 of the family's 1533-position model. The record is from RNAcentral. Lineage: Bacteria; Pseudomonadati; Bacteroidota.